Long non-coding RNA from Oxyura jamaicensis (ruddy duck), 421 nucleotides. RefSeq lists it as uncharacterized. NCBI's taxonomy places the organism in Eukaryota, Metazoa, Chordata, Aves, Anseriformes, Anatidae. The record is from RefSeq and is a predicted model, not a curated record. The transcript is spliced from 3 exons.
UGUUUAAAGAGAAAGACAACAGCAUGAAUUUGUCAACCUGCUAUUCAUGCAAAAACUAUGCAUUAGCAAGAGCAUCUCCACAAUUACUAUCAGAUUUUUUUGUUUGUUUGUUUUGAAAGGCUACAGUGGGUGAAAGAGCCACAGACUAUCCCUGUCAUUGCUUAGUAUAAUGAUGGUUAUGAUCAUACUCUUCCAUACACACCAUGUUCAAUUUGAACUUUCACUGCUGCAAUUUAAGCUCAUUACUUCUUAUACUAACCAACAUCACAGAGAAAAAAAUUAUCUUCCUCUCUGCAGUACAUUUUGUAUAUUUGAAGACUCAUUCUCUCUCUUCCUCUGAUUCAUCUUCUCUCACCAGAACAAUGUCCAUUCAAACUAAGUUGCAUUUUCCAGGCCCUGGAUUAAAAUCUAAAUUAAUACC